This 433-nucleotide ribosomal RNA is filed under the name uncultured bacterium. RNAcentral describes it as "bacterial SSU rRNA". It matches the Rfam family "Bacterial small subunit ribosomal RNA", at positions 355 to 786 of the family's 1533-position model. The record is from RNAcentral.
UGAGGAAUAUUGGUCAAUGGGCUGAGGCCUGAACCAGCCAAGUCGCGCGAGGGAAGACGGUCCUAUGGAUUGUAAACCUCUUUUGUCGGGGAGCAACGACGUCACGAGUGACGGAAGUGAGAGUACCCGAAGAAAAAGCAUCGGCUAACUCCGUGCCAGCAGCCGCGGUAAUACGGAGGAUGCGAGCGUUAUCCGGAUUUAUUGGGUUUAAACGGUGCGUAGGCGGACUGUUAAGUCAGCGGUAAAAAUUCGGGGCCCAACCCCGUCAUGCCGUUGAAACUGGCGGACUAGAGUGGGCGAGAAGUAUGCGGAAUGCGAGGUGUAGCGGUGAAAUGCAUAGAUAUCACGCAGAACUCCGAUUGCGAAGGCAGCAUACCGGCGCCCGACUGACGCUGAGGCACGAAAGCGUGGGGAUCGAACAGGAUUAGAUACC